CGCAGUGCGACUUGCGUACACUGCAAGUCGCACGGACAUUAUAAGGAAGCUUGCGAAUUCUAAAAUUAUUGGCGCACGGGCUGAGUAACGCGUUGGAUGACCUGCUCUGGUAGACCGGGAUAACAGCUGGAAACGGCUGCUAAUACCGGAUACGCUUAAGGGAACGCAUGUUCUUUUAAGGAAAGCAAUCGUGCUAUCAGAUGGAUCCGCGUCCCAUUAGCUAGUUGGUGGUGUAAGGGACCACCAAGGAGACCAUUGGUAGCCGGCCUGAGAGGGCGACCGGCCACACUGGGACUGAGACACGGUCCAGACUCCUACGGGAGGCGGCAUUGGGGAAUCUUCCACGAUGGGCGAAAGCCUGACAGAUCAACGCCUCGUGAGGGAAGAAGGCCUUCUGGUUGUAAACCUCUUUCAUCAUGGAAGAACAUAUGACGGUGCUUGGAGAGGAAGCCCCGGCUAACUACGUGCCAGCUACCGCGGUAUAACGUAAGGCGCGAUCGUUAUCCGGAAGUACUGGGCGUCAGGGCGCGUACGUGGUGCAUUAGUUUAUAUGUGAAUGAUCGGGGCUCGACCCCGAGAUUGGCUCUGAUUCUGGUGGACUUGACUGCAUGAAAGGCGAGCGCAAUUCCCAGUGUAGCGGUGAAAUGCGUACAUUGAGUGAGGAACAUCAGUGGCUACUGCCGCUCUCUAGAGUGUAUCUGAGACUGAAGCGCGCUAGCGUGGUCAGCGAACAGGAUACAUACCCUGGUCGUCCACCCGUGAACAUCAGGCUAUGUGUUCUGGUACUACCCCGCUUUGCGCCUUUAG
This 807-nucleotide ribosomal RNA is filed under the name uncultured bacterium. RNAcentral describes it as "bacterial SSU rRNA". It matches the Rfam family "Bacterial small subunit ribosomal RNA", at positions 34 to 864 of the family's 1533-position model. The record is from RNAcentral.